This 485-nucleotide ribosomal RNA is filed under the name uncultured bacterium. RNAcentral describes it as "partial 16S ribosomal RNA". It matches the Rfam family "Bacterial small subunit ribosomal RNA", at positions 28 to 523 of the family's 1533-position model. The record is from RNAcentral.
GACGAACGCUGGCGGCGUGCUUAACACAUGCAAGUCGAACGAUGAAGCCGGAGCUUGCUCUGGUGAAUUAGUGGCGAACGGGUGAGUAACACGUGAGUAACCCGCCCUUGACUCUGGGAUAACUGCGGGAAACUGUAGCUAAUACCGGAUACGACCCUCGGAGGCAUCUCCUGGGGGGUGGCAAGAAUUUCGGUCAAGGAUGGACUCGCGGCCUAGCAGCUAGUUGGUGAGGUAAAGGCUCACCAAGGCGACGACGGGUAGCCGGCCUGAGAGGGGGACCGGCCACACUGGGACUGAGACACGGCCCAGACUCCUACGGGAGGCAGCAGUGGGGAAUAUUGCACAAUGGGCGCAAGCCUGAUGCAGCAACGCCGCGUGAGGGAUGACGGCCUUCGGGUUGUAAACCUCUUUUAGCAGGGAAGAAGCGAAAGUGACGGUACCUGCAGAAAAAGCACCGGCUAACUACGUGCCAGCCGCCGCAGUAA